RNAcentral lists this vault RNA (92 nucleotides) under Helobdella robusta. It matches the Rfam family "Vault RNA". From Rfam's summary of the family: This family of RNAs are found as part of the enigmatic vault ribonucleoprotein complex. The complex consists of a major vault protein (MVP), two minor vault proteins (VPARP and TEP1), and several small untranslated RNA molecules. Lineage: Eukaryota; Metazoa; Annelida; Clitellata; Rhynchobdellida; Glossiphoniidae. The record is from Rfam by way of RNAcentral.
GUGCGGGCUUAGUUGAGCGGUUACUUCGUGAACUUGACUAGCGUCUUCUCAUACCAAAACAUGCCUAACCGUUGACGCCACCCCGUGCUUUU